This 66-nucleotide transfer RNA is filed under the name Glycine max (soybean). RNAcentral describes it as "tRNA-Asp". It matches the Rfam family "tRNA", at positions 11 to 71 of the family's 71-position model. Rfam says of the family: Transfer RNA (tRNA) molecules are approximately 80 nucleotides in length. Their secondary structure includes four short double-helical elements and three loops (D, anti-codon, and T loops). RNAcentral also lists the same sequence under 1 other name. Lineage: Eukaryota; Viridiplantae; Streptophyta; Magnoliopsida; Fabales; Fabaceae. The record is from RNAcentral.
UAAAAGUGGUAAGUAUUUCCGCCUGUCACGCGGAUGACCCGGGUUCGAUCCCCGGCAACGGCGCCA